GUGCAUAGGACUGCAGAUUUUUUGUCUUUUGACACUGAAAUAACAAAGCUUACUAAUCUCCGGGCAGGGGAGUAUCCCAACUAAUGGUAACAACCACAAAUUCCUUGGUUGCUUCUUUUUAAAUCGCCAGAACCAUGAUAAAUCGCAAACAAUAGUCAACAACGUUAACAUGUUCUCCACACUUUGGACCACCAUUUUGUAAUACCCCGAUUUUUUCCAAAAUAAAUAAUAAAAAUAAUAAUCCUGAAAUCCUCAUUUAUUAACCUUCAUGAACCGUCUCCAA
This 283-nucleotide long non-coding RNA is filed under the name Brassica napus (rape). RNAcentral describes it as "long non-coding RNA (BNAP_LNC022250)". Lineage: Eukaryota; Viridiplantae; Streptophyta; Magnoliopsida; Brassicales; Brassicaceae. The record is from RNAcentral.